UGGCAACAUCCUCAGAGAAGGAGCUUCUCU
RNAcentral lists this non-coding RNA (30 nucleotides) under Mus musculus (house mouse). The record is from RNAcentral. Lineage: Eukaryota; Metazoa; Chordata; Mammalia; Rodentia; Muridae.